ACCAAAGGGUGAACACAUGUGCUACAAUGGCAAUGACAAUGGGAAGCAAGGCUGUAAGGCGGAGCGAAUCCGGAAAGAUUUCCUUAGUUCGGAUUGUUCUCUGCAACUCGGGAACAUGAAGUUGAAAUCGCUAGUAAUCGCGGAUCAGCAUGCCGCGGUGAAUAUGUACC
This 170-nucleotide ribosomal RNA is filed under the name Triticum dicoccoides. RNAcentral describes it as "rRNA SSU_rRNA_eukarya". It matches the Rfam family "Bacterial small subunit ribosomal RNA", at positions 1204 to 1374 of the family's 1533-position model. The record is from RNAcentral. Lineage: Eukaryota; Viridiplantae; Streptophyta; Magnoliopsida; Poales; Poaceae.